This 283-nucleotide ribosomal RNA is filed under the name Crassanapis chilensis. RNAcentral's name for it is "partial 18S ribosomal RNA". It matches the Rfam family "Eukaryotic small subunit ribosomal RNA", at positions 1144 to 1449 of the family's 1831-position model. The record is from RNAcentral. Lineage: Eukaryota; Metazoa; Arthropoda; Arachnida; Araneae; Anapidae.
UUAAAGGAAUUGACGGAAGGGCACCACCAGGCUUGGGGCCUGCGGCUUAAUUUGACUCAACACGGGACAGUCUACCCGGUCCGGACGCAGGAAGGAUUGACAGAUUAAGAGCUCUUUCUUGAUUCUGCGGGAGGUGGUGCAUGGCCGUUUUUAGUUGGUGGAGCGAUUUGUCUGGUUUAUUCCGAUAACGAGCGAGAUCCUAGCCUACUAAAUAGACGUUCCCUUCCUUCCCGAGGGACGCUCUUCUUAGAGGGACAAGCGGCGACCAGCCGCGCGAGACAGG